ACUUUAAUUUUGACACGUUACUUUACACCGCUCAAACGAACAUAUCUACACUGUUUCCACCCGAUUUUCCUAGUCUCUACGCUCUGUUUCUUCCUCAAAAUUUCCAUCGCUGCUCACCUCCUCUUACAAUUUCCCUUGUUUCUUUUAGCCUUCUUUCUUCCUGGACAGUUUAUUCGCCUUGAUUUACAGUUAUACGGUUGCAAAAGUGAUUGGCUGACACUUACAAAACUUAAAUUUCUUCGUGAAUGGAUCACCAACAAAAAAGAAAACAACCUUGCAUAACAACAAAAACUCAUGAUAAGAAUUCCAAGCGGCGUGAACUGUAUCGUGACAUGGCCACGACUAAAAAGAACGCACUUCUGCUGCAACGCCGCCUCAAAAAGAGAGAGGCAACAACUAAUCGUCUUCUUGGAAGUAGAAAAUCUAUCAAUCUUGCUGAAUCAAUGUCUGCAAUUCAGGAAAAUGUUAUUGUUGGAGGCUCUUGUUCUAUUUCAAAAAUAGGUUCGACAUCAAGUACUUCAGGUAAAUCGAGUGCUCCAACUACUGAAAUAGUUCUGGUCGAUGGUGCUUUCUUUGUCGAUGGUCCAGGAGGAACUGAAAAAACUUUUUUAUACCGUGCUUUAUUGGCAACUGUACGAUCUAUAAGAUAUAUAGCUUUGACAACAGCUACUUCAGGUGUUGCUGCUUCUAUUCUCCCGGGUGGACGUACUGCACACUCGCACUUUAAAAUUCCUAUUGAUAUUGAUGAACAUUCCAGUUGUAACAUUAGCAAACAAAGUGCACUAGUAGGUUUAAUACGAGAAGCAAAAUUGAUUAUAUGGGAUGAAGUAUGGCAAUAAAAGAAUGCUAGAAGUUUUUGAUUUGCUUUUAAAAGAUCUUAUGAAUACAAAUGUUUUAUUUGAUGGGAAAGUCGUUGUUUUAGGAGGUGACUUUAGAGAAACUCUUCCUGUUGUGCGAAAUGGAAAGAAAGAAGAUUUCAUCAAUGAAAGUUUGUUAUAUUCUAGAAUUUGGUAUGAACUUGAAAAAUUACAACUGUCUAAGAACAUGAGAGCAAAAAUAGAUCCUCUAUUUUAUGAUUAUUUGAUGAGAAUUGGAAAUAGAUAAGAACAAGAUAGCUCAACGAAUUAGAUUAAAUUUCCUGAUUCUUUGGUUAUCCCUUUCACAACCGAAAGAGAAUCUUUAGAUAAGCUAUUCACAGUGACAUAUCCAAAUUUGAAUUCGUUCAACUCCAACACAUUCUGUACAAAUUCUCAUGUAAUUUUGACUACAAAAAAUAAUUUUAUAAAUGAAAUCAAUGACAUGCUUAUUGACCAAUUUCCAGGAAAAGUAAGAACAUUUACCGGCAUUGAUGAGACCAUUGAAUUGAAUAAUUAAACACAAUUUGAAGAUUUAUUACACAGUUUAAAUCCUCCAAGUUUGCCUCCUUAUAAAUUAUCUUUGAAAGAGAAUUGCCCCAAUAUGUUAUUGCGUAACUUAAAUCCAUAUGAAGGUUUAUGUAAUGGCACACGACUGACCUGCUGUGAUUUUAAAACUCAUGUGAUAAGUGCUAAGAUUUCAACAGGUGACUUCAAAAAUACGCAUGUAUUUAUACCGAGAAUACCGUUAUUAUCAUCACAGGAUGAGAAAAUGCCCAUUUCAUUUAAGAGAAUACAAUUUCCAAUAAGAUUGUGCUUUGCUAUGACUAUAAAUAAAGCACAAGGGCAAAUAUUAGAUUUUGUAGGGAUUUAUUUGUGGGAACCUAUAUUUUCGCAUGAUCAACUUUAUGUUGCUUUAUCGAGAGCUAAAAAUUCGAACUGUGUAAAAUUUCUGAUUCGACCACCUACGCCGACAAGCUAUGAUGAUCAUUCUACAUGUAGCAUUGUUUAUGAUGAAAUCAUUCGAAAGGCAGCUAGUUGAUGUUUUUGGCAUAAGAUGAUCUUGUAGGUUUACCGUUCUUUUCGUACUUCAUUAUUCUGUAUAUACAUGUUACCAUGUCUUACUUUUGAUAAAGUAUUUUGCGUAACCUUUUUUCUUUCUUACUCCAGUUGCCAACACAAUAGCUUUCAUCUCAACAAAUGAAGUAAAAGAAAUGUCAAAACGAAGACGCUGGGCAAAUUACUUAACUCGCUAAAAAUCCUUGGAUGGUAUUCCAGUUUUAGUGGUUGAUUAUAACGAACAUGUUAUUGGCUACUCCUGCCAAAAUUCACGGAUUGCUUGACGCUUCAAGUUCUAUGUUUCUUGAUAUUUACCACACAUCAUGUGAUUCCCAUAAAGUAUUUUAGAAGAAUGUCAUGGGGUUGAGCAAAACUAAAGUGAACUUGAAGAGAUUACUUGUAAAUGCACCACAGCAGCAAAAUCAAGCAAAGUUUAUACAUAAUUUUGUUCAUAUUGUGGAUCUUGAAGACAUGAUCCCUGAAAGAAGGGGUAUUACAUCUUUGAAUACAUAAAUGGUAACCUUGGGGUUCCCUAUCUAAAGAUCCAAUCCCUCUUCGUUCACCCAGCACAACAAGAGCAUACUUUCUUGAAUCACAUAAUCUGCAUGUUGGUUCUUAUGUGAAGAAUCGAAAAGAACUUUAUUUAUACGGUAACACAUCCGGUCCCAAGCCCAAAGGAGGAGAGUUUACUAUCUCUUAACAAUCCAGGUACCGCUACUCAGGCCUACCCCCUUGAGGGAGGCGACUGUUUUAGAGACUUCGAGAAGCUUGGAAUGCUCAAGAAGCAAAGCAUGGAACAUACAAGUUCAAUCACCUUGUAUACUCCGAUAGUCAAAGGCAAAAAUGAUGAGGAUAUGAGUGUCCUCUUCAUGGGAUUCGGUAUGGUCUGAAGAACAUUAUUGGCUUUCAAAUCUUUCAAGAAUGAAGUUCUUGAUGUUGAAGCUUGGACUUAUAAGAGGUAUUGAUAUUUAAUGAAUGUAGAGACCGCAUCCAGAAGCGACCUUGUGCAUAUGUUUGUAUAACUUAUAGAUACGGAUGCAAGCUGAAAUCUACUGCUGCAGUUUUUGUUGCAAAAUUGGUCGCUGGUUCUAAAUAGGGAGAGUUUCACGAGCUUCGGGUUGUCCUUGCUAACCAGAGGAUAAAAUUAGAAUUUUAUCAGUUUGACUCAUUGUUUUAAUACCGUGCCAACUGGAUAUCUACAUUCAAAGAGCAGCGCGUGUAGGUUUUGUAAAACCUGCCUGCCAAGUGCCAACACAAGUUUUCUCAGUACAAUGUACUAUUUGCCAACCCUUCUGAUUAUAGUUGAUCCCCUUCUUCAUUUUGUUUUGCCCUGUUCAA
Molecule: non-coding RNA, 3251 nt
Organism: Nicotiana tabacum (common tobacco)
Lineage: Eukaryota; Viridiplantae; Streptophyta; Magnoliopsida; Solanales; Solanaceae
Source: RefSeq, a predicted model, not a curated record